GUACUUGCCUCAGUGGUAGAGGACUUGCCUCGCGUGCGUGAGGUGCUGGGUUCAAUCCUCAGCACCACA
Molecule: transfer RNA, 69 nt
Filed under: Marmota monax (woodchuck)
Lineage: Eukaryota; Metazoa; Chordata; Mammalia; Rodentia; Sciuridae
Description: tRNA.Ala
Source: RNAcentral